UUUUUUAUUGUGUUUUGAAGUGUUUCAGUGUGUUUUGAAAGAAAAAUACGAAAAUUUGAAAAAAAAAUAGAAAAAGUUUUGAAAAACCCAAAAAGAGUCGUUUUUGUGUGUUUGUGUCUUAGGGUACCUUCCAACACAAUGAUGAGGAUUUGGUUUUUAAUUACAUGACUGUUAAAGAAAAUUACAAACAUGGGUGGAAGUUUGAUAUGCUCUUUGGUUAAUGCUUGGUUGUAGUUGUCAUUAACGAAUUCACAUGUAAUCACAAAGGAAACAAAUUAGUUUUUGUAACAUGCUUGAAGGAAGGAACUCAAACUAACGUUACAACCCUGAGAGACUUGAGCCUAUACGUUAUUUGGAGAGUUAUUAAUCUGUGAUUUCUUGUUUUCUAAAGUCGUUGCAUGAUCUCAUUAUUCUUUGCUUGGUUGCUACUUAGAAUGCGUUUUAUCACUUUAAUUCCAAAUACUAGAACUCAUGCCCGUUUCAUUCAAAGCUUUAAAUUGAGUGCAUAACAUAUAACAAGAUGAAGUUGUUUAGUAGUUACCACCAGAGCCAAAAAGCCUUCAUCCCAUGCAUUUGUUUUAUAGGUUUAACCUCUUUGAGCCUUAUUUAGCCUAGUUUCGUUGUUAGCCACAUUACUCCUACCUAGCCUCGAAUAGGACUAUCCAUACCAUUGUUCUUAAAGUAUAGUGGAGCAUGACUUAGAGAGAAUUCCUUUUGAUCAAAUUUUGAUCAAACAUAUUGCAGAAAUCAAGUGUGGGGGAAGGUUAUGUACACGAGUAGAAAGAAAAAAAGAGAAAAAAAAAUCAUGGAAAAAGAAAAAGAAAAGAAAAAAGUGUGAAGAAAAGAAGGGAAAUGAGUUGAAAAUAAGUGAGAAUGAGCUCAUAAGUAUUGGUUGUUGAAGAAAGGGCCCAAAAGGUUUGAAUAUGACCCUAAGCAUGUACGAAAUCCCCUUAGUAUUUCAAGUUAUAUGCUGCAUUCAAGAGUGAAUUCUAAGUUGAUUUCAUUGCUUUGCUUACUAUUGCUUUAAGAACCUGCAACCCUUAUCCUUAACCUUUCUUUGUUAGCCAAUACCCUUAGCCUCGUUACAACCCUUAGACUUUAAUCUUGGUUGUUGUGUGUUUCAAUAUGUGGAGUUUGGGAUUGGUAUGAGCAUAUGGUAUCCCUGGUUCUCGCAUCUAUGUAGUGGCAUUCCGUUCAUGAGAUCAUAUAUAUAUAUACAUGCAUUAAUAAUUUCAGAAAGUGUCUUCUUUGAGUAUAACAUAUAUGAGUGCUAGUCUACAUGUUUACAUCAAUCUUCUCACAUAUACCUAGUAUAGGGAGUGUAGUUAGAAAAUCUAUGUGAAAAUACAGUGUAUAUCCGCUGAGGAAUUGAGGGAAUUCUCUAAGGCAUGUUACUACAUUCAAAACAUUGUUUUAAAUUGAUUAAAUGCGAGCUAGUGAGUGGUGACUGUGAUUAAGUGUGUGCUCGAGGGUAAGGAUAACUGAAAUCUAUGGGAGUACUGAUUUUUAAUGUGUCAUGUUUCAUUGGAAAUCCCUGAGGCAAAUGUUGGAAGGUCUAGGUAAUGUUUUGUUUGUUUUGUUUGUUUUGUUUUGCUCGAGGACUAACAAAAGCUAAGUGUGGGGGAAUUUGAUAGGAGCAUAUUUAUGCAACUUAGUUAGCUUGUUUUCUUGCAUUUUCAUAGUUAGUUCUUACUUAUUUUAGUGUUUUAAGCUAUUUUCUUGUGUUUAUAGGUCCAAAUGACAAAGUUGGCAAGAAAGUGCAAUUUGGAGCAUUUUGAAGUAGUUUUGGGCACCAAAUGGAUAGCUUAUGAGUGGAGCAAGAUGGAUGGACGAAUUUGAAGUUCAAGAGGCUAGGAAUGUGCUGAAAAGAUGAAGAAAAUAAAACCAAGACAAAGAAGAUAAGGAAUCAACUCAAAAGGAGGAAUAUUAUCCAAAACCUUAUCCAACCUUAUCUUAUUCAAACUAACCUUAUCUUAUCGUAUCCUAAUCUUAUCACCUUAAAUCCAGCUGCAAGGGGACCUAAAUAUCUAAUUUCUAGAAGGCCUAUCCUUUCCCCUACAUUUAUGCCGCACCCUUGUCUUUCUAGAACCCCUAAAUUGGUGCUGAAACAUUCUUUCUAGAAGUCCCUACAAAUCUGGCGCCUCCUCUUCUUGUAGAAGUUCUAGAACCUGCAACCCUAAUCCUUUUCCCUCUUAAAUUAGGCCAAAUUUAUCCCUUUCCUUGUAGGAAUUUGUGCCACACCUUUCUAACCUAAUUCCCCUUGGUUUCUGAUUGUUUUAAACCCAUUCCACUUGGGUUUUGGUUACACAAUCCUUUUCCUUUCAGAAAUUGUGACAAAUCCUUUUCCUAUGCUACCUUGUGUUAUGGGUUUUUGCACUAUAAAUACAUCCUUUCUGCCACAAUUCAAACGCCUGAUAGGAGCAUAUUUAUGCGACUUUGUUAUCUUGUUUUCUUGCAUUUACGUUGUUAGUUAUUGUUUAUUAUAGUGAUUUAAGCUAGUUUCGUGUGUUUGUAGGUUCAUAUGGCAAUUGAAGCAAGAAAGUGCAUUUUGGUGCAUUUUAGAGCAAAAAUGAGCUUAAAUUGGAAAGUACAUGCUUGGAGCACAAGGAAUGGACGUGUUUGAAGGGCAAAGGAGCUUAAGAAAUGAAGAAAUGAAUGUGAAGAACAAAGAAUUCAGAAUUAGAAACCAAAGUUUCUAAAGUUGGAAGUUUCUAUUCUUGGAGGUUUCCAUUUUCGAGAGUUUCUAUUCUUGGUUUUGGGCUUUCUAGAAGCCCUAUCUACAAACCCAAACCCUAGCCCACUAAUUUGCCGCACCUAGGCCUUUAAAAUUUCUAAUUUCCUUGCCUUGCAAGGCUUUCUAGAAACCCUAUUUUCCUUGCCUUGCAAGGCUUUCUAGAAACCCUAAUUCAUUGUGGAUCUCUACCCUUGCCGCACCCUAAACCCUAGCCCAUUACUUGUGCUGAUUUCUCUAGGGUUUUGUGGUGCCUAUAAAUACAUAUUUUAGGGUUGAAUCACCGAAUUUUCGUCCAUACUUCCAGCCACACCAUUCUACACAUCCAAAAACCUCAAAAACACAAUUCUAGCCAUUUUUCUUCCUGGCCGCAAGCCAUCUACCACCAUUCUUCCAUAUUUUCUAACCUUCCCCCAUCCUUUUGCCGCAACACUUCCAUUCCACCAAAGAGAGGAGCUUUGCCGUGACCUUUGGAGAGGAGGAAGGCUUUGUCGCAUGCAAUCUUCAACCAUUGGAGUUUCUAGAGUUCUUUCUUUCUUUGUUUCUGUUUUCAUGUUUAAUUUAACUUGCUUUUCAAUUAUGUUAAACAUGUGGAACUAAUUUCUUUUUAGUUAGAGGUGAAUUUGAAGCCAUGGACAUAUGUUUUAUAUGAUUUGAUUUCUUCCAAUUAUGAUUUCAGAAAUUGUGAAUGUGAUUUACUUAUCUAUUUGAUUGAUAACUUGUUUAUGUAUGUGGGUUGAGGGUCGACACUUAGUUUGCAUGCUUAAACUUGAUGCUAGGAUAUAAGGGAAUUUCACCUAAUCGUUAUUAACUUGUAUUCAUAAGUAGUGAAAGUCGCUAGUCACGAUUGCGUUAAGUAAAUCCUAGGCAAGAGUAACAUGCGUAUCCCAUAGUUAUGAAUGCCUCGUCAAUGCUUAUGAUUUCCAUUGAACUUAAUGAUCUUUGAUAUGUGUCUCUAUCAUGCGUAUUCCAUAGUUAGGGUCCUUGAUAAGAAUAAUUUGGUUGUAAUGCGUAUUCCAUUCAAUUCAAUGAAUCUAGGGAAAUCUGAGAAUUAAUUGGUGCAAUCUAGUUAAUUUGGGGCAUUGUCAUUCAUGGUUUGUUGAAAGAGUAAUUGGAGAUCGAGUUGUAUGCAUAUGUUCAUGUGUGGAUAAGGAAUCCUCUAACUAGCUUCUCACCAUUCUAUUUAAUCACAAUCUGUUUUGCUUUACAUUUGUUUUUAAAGUUUUAAUUUCGUCAAAAUCAUUCCCCCAUUUAUUUUAAAGUGUUAGAUUAGUUAGAAAUCCAUUUAGUUGUGUUUUUAAGUGUUUUGAGUCAAGUCAUAGUCCAAAUUCGUCCAAACUAGUGUUAGGUACUCAAAACUGCCCAGAAAGUGGUUUUAAGGCAGUUUUGAGCCUUUUAGUUGCUGUUUUGAGUUUUUAGUUUGUUUAGGUGUUUUAAAACCCUAGUUUUGCAUUAAUUGAGUCUAGUUUAGUGUUCUACAUUAUAUUUUUAUGUUCUUGAGUCAGUUUUACAUUGAUUAGCAUCCCUAGUUAAUCCCCGGUUAGAACGAUCCCUAUUUGCUCAUAUACUACAAUUGUCAUCCAUAGGGUUUAAUUUGUGUGUCAAGUUAAUUUUCACAUCAACGCCCACCCUCUACCAUAUUUUUCUACACCAUUCACCACAAAUUCGUGCCAUACAUCCCUCUAGUGCUGCAGCUGUGCAAGGAAGGAGAAGAAGGAGCCACCUGGAGCUGUGCUUGCCAUUCAAGACAUUAGAUUGUUAUAGUGUUUCUAGGUGUAUUCUAUCUUUGUUUUCAAUGUUUAAAUUUAAUUGUCCUUGUUUAAUUGCGAACAUGUGGAACUAAUUUCUUUAUAGUUGGAGGUGAAUUCGAAGCCAUGAUUAUAUGCUUUAUAUGAAUUGAUUACAUCCAGUUAUUGUUUCUUGAGUCUUGAAUGUGAUGUGCUUAUCUGAGUUAUUAAAACUUGUUUGUGUAUGUUGAUUGAGGGUCGACACUUAAUUUGCAUGCAUGAAUUUGAUGAUAGAGUAUAAGGGAGUUUCACCUAAUCGUUAUGAACUUAUAUUCACAAGUAGUAAAAGUCACUAGUCAUGAUUGUGUUAAGUAAAUCCUUGGCAGGAGUAUCAUGCAUUUCAUAGUUACAAAUGCCUUGUCAAUGCUUAUGGUUUUCAAAGAACUUAAUGACCUUUGAUAUGUUUUCUAUCAUGUUUUUCAUAGUUAGGGGACUUAAGAAGGAUAAUUUGGUUGUGAUGCGUAUCCCGUCCAAUUCAAUGAAAUAAGGAAAAUCUGAUAGUUAAUUUGUGCUAUCACGGUUAACUUGGGGUGUUGUCAUUCAUGGUUUAAAGGAAUAAUAACUGGAAAUCGGUUUGUAUGCAUAUGUCAUGUGUGGAGAAGGACCUUCUAACUAGCCUUUCACCCUUUUCAAUUCACCAAAUUCGUUUUCUUAAAGUGUUAAGUUUCUAUUUUGAGUUUUAAAUUCGUCAAAAAACAAUCCCCUUUCAUUAAGUCUUGUUAGUUGAGUCAUAAUCUGUUUUCUUUUAGUCUUUUGAGUCAAGUUAAGUUUUAUUUUUGUCAAAACCACUUGUUAGGUCUAGAAUUGAGUAUUUUUUUAUUGUUUGUUGCUGUUUUGAGUGGUUUGAGUUAGUUUUAAGUCAUAAGAGUCUAGUUUAUAGUUUUAGAGUCUAGUUUAGUGUUUUGAGUCUUAUUUGUGUUGAUUAGCAUCCCUAGUUAAUCCCGGGUCUAGAACGAUCUCUGCUUACAUCUUUACUACAAUUGGCAACAAUAGGGUUUAAUUUGUGUGUCAAGUUAAUUUUCACAUUAGCAGUACCUGUUAAAAUACCAUAUAUUAGAAUUUCUAUAAAGUUUUACUUUAGUCGCUGAAAAUGACUCGAAUGACAACGUGGUGCUAAAGUGGUAGCACUUGACAGAAGAACGUCUGGGAAGAAUCACUUUGGUCCUCGACAAUACUAAUCUUUCAAACAUAGUAAUAAUUUCGGAUCUUCAGAAGGAAGAUUGUACUCCGAUAAACCCCAUUCCAAGUAGAUUAUUAGCAAAUUCCUUUUCCCAACCUUAGAACACUAAUUCCCAAAAUUUCUUUUGAUGCUGCACUCGUCAUUACGAUGAGUAUAAGUAUGAGAGUACGAGUUGUUAUGCUUACGAUUAGCAGAAAUCCCUAGAGCCGUAAGUAAAUUUCCCUUAGAAUCAGCGAAACCGAGUCAUUAGGGCCAAUUUCUUACCAACCAUCUGAAACCAUCCACCCGAGCAGGCUCUAACCUGUAAUCAGCCUUCGGUGGUGCUGCUCAUGUAAGUGUGGGGGAAGUGUUUCUCAUGUAAGUAGUGUGCCAUAGGCAGGGGUGGAAAGAAAAGAAAAGAAAAAUUCAUCCAAAGAAAAAAAAAAAAAAAAGUUGAAUUUGACCCUAAGAGUUGUUUAAAUCUUUCCCUUAUGUCUAAAAGUUGAUUUUUGCAAUCUAAGUGAAUUCUAAGUUUCAAGUUCAUUACUUUAUUUGCUAUUGCUUUAAGAACGUUUGUUUUCCCUUACCUUCAUUUGUUAGCCAACACCUCAAGCCCCGUUACAACCUUUGACUUCAAUCUUGAGUGUUAUGUGUUUCAAUUUGUGGAGUUUGAAUUUGGUAUGAGCAUAUGGUGUCAUUGGUUCUCGCAUCUAAGUAGUAGCAUUCCAUUCAUGAGAUCAUAUCUAAACAUGCUUAAUAACUCCAGAAAUCGCUUUCUUUGUAAUACAUAUAUAUGAGCGUUCGUUUUCAUGUUUACAUCAAUCUUCUCACAUAUAACUACUAUAGGGUGUGUAGUUAGAAAAUCUGAGUGAAAAUUGAGUGAAUAUCUUGU
This 6569-nucleotide long non-coding RNA is filed under the name Malus domestica (apple). RNAcentral describes it as "long non-coding RNA (MDOM_LNC020506)". The record is from RNAcentral. Lineage: Eukaryota; Viridiplantae; Streptophyta; Magnoliopsida; Rosales; Rosaceae.